GCACGGGGGCAACCCUGGUGGCGAGUGGCGAACGGGUGAGUAAUGCAUCGGAACGUGCCCAGUAGUGGGGGAUAACUAGUCGAAAGAUUAGCUAAUACCGCAUACGACCUACGGGUGAAAGCGGGGGACCUUUACCGGCCUCGCGCUAUCGGAGCGGCCGAUGUCUGAUUAGCUAGUUGGCGGGGUAAAAGCCCACCAAGGCGACGAUCAGUAGCUGGUCUGAGAGGACGACCAGCCACACUGGGACUGAGACACGGCCCAGACUCCUACGGGAGGCAGCAGUGGGGAAUUUUGGACAAUGGGCGCAAGCCUGAUCCAGCCAUGCCGCGUGCGGGAAGAAGGCCUUCGGG
This 350-nucleotide ribosomal RNA is filed under the name uncultured bacterium. RNAcentral's name for it is "bacterial SSU rRNA". It matches the Rfam family "Bacterial small subunit ribosomal RNA", at positions 71 to 422 of the family's 1533-position model. The record is from RNAcentral.